UACGUAGGGGGCUAGCGUUGUCCGGAAUCAUUGGGCGUAAAGCGCGUGUAGGCGGUCCGGUAAGUCCGCUGUGAAAGUCGGGGGCUCAACCCUCGGAUGCCGGUGGAUACUGUCGGGCUUGAGUACGGAAGAGGCGAGUGGAAUUCCUGGUGUAGCGGUGAAAUGCGCAGAUAUCGGGAGGAACACCAAUGGCGAAGGCAGCUCGCUGGGACGGUACUGACGCUGAGAAGCGAAAGCAUGGGGAGCGAACAGG
Molecule: ribosomal RNA, 253 nt
Filed under: uncultured bacterium
Lineage: Bacteria
Description: partial 16S ribosomal RNA
Rfam family: Bacterial small subunit ribosomal RNA
Source: RNAcentral